RNAcentral lists this ribosomal RNA (253 nucleotides) under uncultured bacterium. Its description in RNAcentral is "partial 16S ribosomal RNA". It matches the Rfam family "Bacterial small subunit ribosomal RNA", at positions 524 to 776 of the family's 1533-position model. The record is from RNAcentral.
UACGUAGGGUGCAAGCGUUAAUCGGAAUUACUGGGCGUAAAGCGUGCGCAGGCGGUUAUGCAAGACAAAGGUGAAAUCCCCGGGCUCAACCUAGGAACUCCCUUUGUGACUGCAUAGCUAGAGUACGGUAGAGGGGGAUGGAAUUCCGCGUGUAGCAGUGAAAUGCGUAGAUAUGCGGAGGAACACCGAUGGCGAAGGCAAUCCCCUGGACCUGUACUGACGCUCAUGCACGAAAGCGUGGGGAGCAAACAGG